This 659-nucleotide long non-coding RNA is filed under the name Gossypium barbadense (sea-island cotton). RNAcentral's name for it is "long non-coding RNA (GBAR_LNC018839)". The record is from RNAcentral. Lineage: Eukaryota; Viridiplantae; Streptophyta; Magnoliopsida; Malvales; Malvaceae.
UCGAUAGUUGAAGUUUUUAGGAUAUUGGAGGAGGUAAGCCAUCUCUGGAUUUAGGGCCUGUAAUUCUCUUAUGUGUUUUUUAUAUGUGGGAAUUUCCAUAUCCAUAGAUUGCUCUUUGAUGCAAUAGAUAUCCUUGCCUUAGGAAUCUCACCCUUACUAAGUUUCAUGAGUGCUAAAUAAAAGCUGUAAAUACACCUUCAACCAGGAAAGAUAGUAAUAACUUUUUUCAUGUAUUUGAAUUCUAUUAUUUUAUAUUUAAAUUGUAAUAAUUGAAUCUCAUUUGCUUAGUUGUAUUUGCGGUUUAUGGUUAAUUGUAAAGACAGGUACUAUUAAAUCCAUAGUUAUCUGUUAAAUCGAUUCCCUCUGUUUUUUAUGUGUCUUGUUGGCGUUUUUUCUAUAUUUGGAUCAUAGAUCUUGACUUGCUAACAAUGCCUUUUUAAUGACGUUUACAGUGAUUGAUUUUGCUUUUACAUCUACUCCUAUUUGUGCAAAGUACUGUGUGAAGCAUAUAUGUUGGUGCUUUUAUUCAAAUAAGUUGGUUCUUUCACAUGCCAUAUUCAAUAUCUUGAAUGGGAGUCUUCAAAUGGUAUGGGAGACUGCUUUGGGGAAAUAUAUGAAGAUUUAAGACAAAAAUUCAAUUGUGAUGUCGUAGUUGAUGC